UACGUAGGGGGCUAGCGUUGUCCGGAAUCAUUGGGCGUAAAGCGCGCGUAGGCGGCCCGGUAAGUCCGCUCUGAAAGCCCCGGGCUCAACCUGGGAAUGGCAGUGGAAACUAGGGGACUUGAAUCUGGCAGAGGGGGGUGGAAUUCCACGUGUAGCAGUGAAAUGCGUAGAGAUGUGGAGGAACACCGAUGGCGAAGGCAGCCCCCUGGGCUGAGAUUGACGCUCAGGCACGAAAGCGUGGGGAGCGAACAGG
Molecule: ribosomal RNA, 253 nt
Filed under: uncultured bacterium
Lineage: Bacteria
Description: partial 16S ribosomal RNA
Rfam family: Bacterial small subunit ribosomal RNA
Source: RNAcentral